RNAcentral lists this ribosomal RNA (844 nucleotides) under Monascus sp. (in: ascomycete fungi). RNAcentral's name for it is "eukaryotic LSU rRNA". It matches the Rfam family "Eukaryotic large subunit ribosomal RNA", at positions 69 to 931 of the family's 3401-position model. Lineage: Eukaryota; Fungi; Ascomycota; Eurotiomycetes; Eurotiales; Aspergillaceae. The record is from RNAcentral.
CCGGGAUUGCCUCAGUAACGGCGAGUGAAGCGGCAAGAGCUCAAAUUUGAAAGCUGGCCCCUCCGGGGUCCGCAUUGUAAUUUGCAGAGGAUGCUUCGGGCUCAGCCCCCGUCUAAGUGCCCUGGAACGGGCCGUCGGAGAGGGUGAGAAUCCCGUCUGGGACGGGGUGCCUGGGUCCAUGUGAAGCUCCUUCGACGAGUCGAGUUGUUUGGGAAUGCAGCUCUAAAUGGGUGGUAAAUUUCAUCUAAAGCUAAAUACUGGCCGGAGACCGAUAGCGCACAAGUAGAGUGAUCGAAAGAUGAAAAGCACUUUGAAAAGAGAGUUAAACAGCACGUGAAAUUGUUGAAAGGGAAGCGCUUGCGAUCAGACUCGCCUGCGGGGUUCAGCCGGCAUUCGUGCCGGUGUACUUCCCCGUGGGCGGGCCAGCGUCGGUUCGGGUGGCCGGUCAAAGGCCCCGGGAAUGUGUCGCCCUCCGGGGCGUCUUAUAGCCCGGGGUGCCAUGCGGCCUACCUGGACCGAGGAACGCGCUUCGGCUCGGACGCUGGCGUAAUGGUCGUAAGCGACCCGUCUUGAAACACGGACCAAGGAGUCUAACAUCUACGCGAGUGUUUGGGUGGCAAACCCAUACGCGCAGUGAAAGCGAACGGAGGUGGGAACCCUUCGGGGCGCACCAUCGACCGAUCCUGAUGUCUUCGGAUGGAUUUGAGUAAGAGCGUAGCUGUGGGGACCCGAAAGAUGGUGAACUAUGCCUGAAUAGGGCGAAGCCAGAGGAAACUCUGGUGGAGGCUCGCAGCGGUUCUGACGUGCAAAUCGAUCGUCAAAUUUGGGUAUAGGGGCGAAAGAC